This 440-nucleotide ribosomal RNA is filed under the name uncultured bacterium. RNAcentral's name for it is "partial 16S ribosomal RNA". It matches the Rfam family "Bacterial small subunit ribosomal RNA", at positions 338 to 795 of the family's 1533-position model. The record is from RNAcentral.
CCUACGGGAGGCAGCAGUGGGGAAUAUUGCACAAUGGGGGAAACCCUGAUGCAGCGACGCCGCGUGAGUGAAGAAGUAAUUCGUUAUGUAAAGCUCUAUCAGCAGGGAAGAAAAUGACGGUACCUGAGUAAGAAGCCCCGGCUAACUACGUGCCAGCAGCCGCGGUAAUACGUAGGGGGCAAGCGUUAUCCGGAUUUACUGGGUGGAAAGGGAGCGUAGACGGCAGUGCAAGUCUGGAGGGAAAGGCGGGGGCUCAACCCCCGGACUGCUCUGGAAACUGUACGGCUGGAGUGCAGGAGAGGUAAGUGGAAUGCCUAGUGUAGCGGUGAAAUGCGUAGAUAUUAGGAGGAACACCAGUGGCGAAGGCGGCUUACUGGACUGUAACUGACGUUGAGGCUCGAAAGCGUGGGGAGCAAACAGGAUUAGAUACCCUAGUAGUC